RNAcentral lists this ribosomal RNA (448 nucleotides) under uncultured bacterium. RNAcentral's name for it is "partial 16S ribosomal RNA". It matches the Rfam family "Bacterial small subunit ribosomal RNA", at positions 29 to 523 of the family's 1533-position model. The record is from RNAcentral.
AACGAACGCUGGCGGCAGGCCUAACACAUGCAAGUCGAACGAUGUAGCAAUACAUAGUGGCGCACGGGUGAGUAACGCGUGGGAAUGUACCAUUUGGUGGGGAAUAACUCGGGGAAACUGGAGAUAAUAACGCAUAAGACCUUCGGGGGAAAGAUUUAUCGCGAAAUGAUCAGCCCGCGUGAGAUUAGAUCUUUGGUGGGAUAAUGGCCUACCAAGUAGACGAUCUCUAGCUGGUCUUAGAGGAUGACCAGCCACACUGGAACUGAGACACGGUCCAGACUCCUACGGGAGGCAGCAGUGGGAAUAUUGGGCAAUGGACGAAAGUCUGACCCAGCCAUGCCGCGUGAGUGAUGAAGGCUCUAGGGUUGUAAAGCUCUUUCGCCGAUGAAGAUAAUGACGGUAGUCGGAGAAGAAGCCCCGGCUAACUUCGUGCCAGCCGCCGCCGUAA